This 503-nucleotide long non-coding RNA is filed under the name Mus musculus (house mouse). RNAcentral describes it as "long non-coding RNA chr5:148489940-148490443". The record is from RNAcentral. Lineage: Eukaryota; Metazoa; Chordata; Mammalia; Rodentia; Muridae.
GAGACGCAGUUUGACCGUGAAGGGAGAGCAGCAAGCGCCAUGUGUCUGUGAGAGUCUGCCAGCUAGCCUCAGGGCUUGGAGGAAAGCCCAGUGCAGAGCCUCUUUAGCGGCUCUCAGAAGAAACGAGCACUGCAGACUUCUUGCCUCCAGUGUCCAAAGGCAACAAUCUCUGUAUUGAAGGUGCCCACGUGGAAGCUCUUUAUAUGGGGCCCUAGCAAAGCCACGGCUGUGUGACAGAGAACCAGCACAAACUCAGCUGCGACAGCAGGGGUGGUGGCCCGUGGUUUCCUUUCCAGGGAGUAGCUCCUGAAUUUGACAGCGUUCUUCUCGUACUGUGCAGAAUGCCCUAAUCUACUCGAGAUGCUCAUGUAUAUAAGACGAGGUGCAGUCAAGGUCGCCAUUUGCUUAAACGAAUGCAUCCCAGUAAUAAGUAGGAAGCCGGCAAGCUCAGGGACACAGCUAAAUACAAGGGGUCAAGCCCCGCAUGGUAAAGUAAAUUAACU